RNAcentral lists this transfer RNA (68 nucleotides) under Trichonephila inaurata madagascariensis. It matches the Rfam family "tRNA". Rfam says of the family: Transfer RNA (tRNA) molecules are approximately 80 nucleotides in length. Their secondary structure includes four short double-helical elements and three loops (D, anti-codon, and T loops). Further hydrogen bonds mediate the characteristic L-shaped molecular structure. tRNAs have two regions of fundamental functional importance: the anti-codon, which is responsible for specific mRNA codon recognition, and the 3' end, to which the tRNAs corresponding amino acid is attached (by aminoacyl-tRNA synthetases). tRNAs cope with the degeneracy of the genetic code in two manners: having more than one tRNA (with a specific anti-codon) for a particular amino acid; and 'wobble' base-pairing, i.e. permitting non-standard base-pairing at the 3rd anti-codon position. The record is from Rfam by way of RNAcentral. Lineage: Eukaryota; Metazoa; Arthropoda; Arachnida; Araneae; Nephilidae.
GCCAGUAUGGUGGUUAGGACACUCGGCUUGUAAUCGAGUGGGCUCGGGUUCGAAUCCCGAAAAAGGCA